Molecule: long non-coding RNA, 2089 nt
Organism: Lycium barbarum (goji berry)
Lineage: Eukaryota; Viridiplantae; Streptophyta; Magnoliopsida; Solanales; Solanaceae
Exons: 3
Source: RefSeq, a predicted model, not a curated record
CGCGUUUUGGGCUUACUUUUUAUAGGUCUAAUUAAUUAAGGUCCUGCUUUCUCCUACGACCGUUUGAUUUAGAAAAAUUCGUUGCUUUGUAACACAAUCCAUCAAAAUUGAAAUAUAUAGCGUCCCUAUCGUGUACCGUGAAAAUUAUUUUCAUGGACAACACACUACAAUUUAAAACAGCUAAAAUGACACCUAUGUCGUGUACCAUGAAAAUUAUUUCAUUUCUCUUUAAGUAAGUACACCAUUCUUAAUUUGUAGGCCCAUUUCUUCUUCAUAUUGAAGCUCAAAAAAUUCAUUUUCUCCGGAUUUAGCGGCUGUCUUGAAGAGGUGCUCGGUACCCACAUUGAAGCCCGACUAAAUUCGAAUUCGUGCCGCGCAGGACCCAUUCGGGGGAAGCGCUUCUUACGAAGGAUUUUCUCAUACCUAAGGGUUGAACCUAAGAUCUCUGAUUAAAGAAGGAUCAGUCUCAUCGCUGCACCACAUCCUUUGAUUGGUUGAUUCAUGCCACAAAUUAUAUUGUUGCAUCUUGUUGAUUUCUUCAACCUUGCUACCUAGCUCGAAGGCAAAAAGGUUAGAGUUUUUUGGUUUUAGUCGUUAAAGGCAUUUAUUAGUUCACUUAAACAAUUAUUUGUUUUUAAAUACAAGAACCUAAUCUAACCAAUAUAAGUCAUUUUUUAUUAGCUCAAUUUCUAUAGGUUUUGUUUUAUCGAUUUCUCGGUUUGUCAAAUUUUAGUAAGAUUGAUUAACUUGUUGGAUAAUGAGUCUUUAAUUAUCCCGUGGUCUUUAAUUUUAGUUAUUUUUUUAAAGUACAAGCACCUAUCAAACCAAUUAAGUCAUUUUUUAUUAGUUCGAUUUUUGUAGUUUUUUUUCGAUUUUAUUUUAUUUUUGUCGAUUUUUUGAUUUGUCAAACUUUAGUAAGAUUGAUUAAUUUGUUGGAUAAUGAGUCUUUAAUUAUCCUGUAGAUCUUUCAUUGUUGACCGGCAACACCUUUUCAAAUCUUAUGAAUGUAGUGAGUAGGGUAAAUGCAAGAUAUUUGAUGAAUGUUAUCCUCUUGUAUUUCAAAUUACAUAAAUAAGCGUUUAAGUCCCAGUACUCCACCAACCCCUUGGUGUGAUAGUCAUAAUUUUAAUGGGCAUCACCUAAGAAUUAAUAAAGGGCUUGAUAGCAUAGAGUAUACACAUGGUACACAACUCAAUAGUUCUCUUUUUAGAUUUUUUUCUUAUUGAAAUAUACAUUUAUUUUAUAAUUUAUAAAGGUUAAGUAAGGAUAUCGUUGCAAUGAUGAUUUGGUUGUUUCUCAUUUUCCGAGGGAUUUGGUUGAUUCAUGGCAUAAAUUUUCUUAAACGUCCUGCUGAUUUUCUUCUACCUUGCUACAUCAGGGCCUUAGCUAUCACUACAUCACAGAGUUGAAGGCAAAGAAGGGUUAGAAUUUUUCUUUUCUGGGUGUUCAUAAUCGUUAGAGAUUUUUGUCAAAUUUUUUUUAUUACUUUUUACUUUAAACACAAUUUAAUUUUGGGAAAAUAACACUGUAUGACAAUUAUGACAAAAUAAUUCCCCGGUUUAGCCCAUCUUUAUUUUAUUACCCGCUAUAGCCACUUUUUCACUCUUCUGUUUUUUCCUUCCCACUACCCUAGCUCAAACCAACGGACAAUGGGAAAGAGGAAUACACUGGAGUAUUAAAUUCUUCUGCUUCUCUCCAAAUGCUUCACUGGAAUUUUGCCCUUUCAUCCAUGGUAGAAACACCCAUGAGAAACCCAUACCAAAAGAAUUUCGUUUAAGCGUUUAUAAACACGUUUUAUACAUUUUUAUAUGGUAUAGAAGUGUGUAUAAACACCUCUUAUACAUUAUGUAUAAACCCCUCUUAUGUAUACACACCUCUCGUAUAAGUUUGUAUAAUAUUGUAUACUAGUCUUAUACAUUAUUAUACACCUUUAUACAAGGUUGAUACAUUAUCUACUCCGGGCGCAUAAAGUUGUAUAUUGUUGUAUACUGUUGUAUACUGUGAAAAAGUGACUAUGCGGGGUGUAAUUUAAAAAUAUGGCUACGCAAAUAUAAUUUUGUAUGAUGUCACAGAUAUUAGGUUAGAUCCA